Molecule: ribosomal RNA, 1140 nt
Filed under: uncultured organism
Description: bacterial SSU rRNA
Rfam family: Bacterial small subunit ribosomal RNA
Source: RNAcentral
CUUCGAAAGGAUGGGUAAUUCCCGGUAAGACCUCAGCUUCGCAUGGUGCAUCGGUAAAGGGUUGGGAUCUUCGGACCUUCCGCUCGAGGAGGGGAGCUCGUCCUAUUAGCUUGUUGGUGGGGUAACGCGCCUACCAAGGCGACGAUGGGUAGCCGGCCUGAGAGGGUGUCCGGACACCCUGGGACUGAGACACGGCCCACACUCCUACAGGAAGGCAGCAGUGCUGAAUCAUUCGCCAAUGCGCGAAAGCGUGACUUUUCGACGCCACGUGGAGGAUGAAGGCCUUCGGGUUGUAAACUCCUGUCAUGGUGCAGAAAACCACAGUGGUGAAUAGCCGCUGUGCUGAUUCACACCCAAAGGAAGCACAGGCUAAUCUCGUGCCAGCUGCCGCGGUACUACGAGGUGUGCAAGCGUUGUUCGGUGUCUCUGGGCGUAAAGGGUGCAUAGGCGGCUUGCCCAGUCGGUAUGAGAAAUCUCCCGGCUCAGCCGGGGAAUUGCUUCCGAAACUGCCAAGCUUGAUGAUGGGAGGGGCUAUCGGAAUUCCGGGUGUAGCGGUGGAAUGCGUAGAUAUUCGGGAGAACGCAGACGACGAAGUCAGCUUGCUGGAACAUUCCUGACGCUGAGGCACGAAAGCUAGGGGAGCAAACAGGCUUAGAUACCCUGGUAGUCCUAGCCGUAAACGAUGGGCACUUGGUUUCGGGGAGACUGAUCUCCUCGGGUCCGUAGCUAACGCGUUAAGUGCUCCGCCUGGGGAGUAUGGUCGCAAGGCUGAAACUCAAAAGAAUUGACGGGGCCUCACACAAGCGGUGGAGCAUGUUGUUCAAUUCGAAGCAACGCGAAGAACCUUACCUGGGCUUGACAUGCUGGCAGUAGGAACCUGAAAGGGGGACCACCGGUAUCCAGUCCGGAACCAGCACAGGUGCUGCAUGGCUGUCGUCAGCUCGUGUCGUGAGACGUCGGGUUAAGUCCCAUAACGAGCGAAACCCCUGUCCUUAGUUGCUACCGGGUCAUGCCGGGCACUCUAGGGAGACUGCCGGUGUUAAUCCGGAGGAAGGUGGGGACGACGUCAAGUCAUCAUGGUCCUUACGUCCAGGGCUACAAACGUGCUACAAUGGCAGGGACAGAGAGACGCGAUACCGC